RNAcentral lists this ribosomal RNA (497 nucleotides) under uncultured bacterium. Its description in RNAcentral is "partial 16S ribosomal RNA". It matches the Rfam family "Bacterial small subunit ribosomal RNA", at positions 28 to 507 of the family's 1533-position model. The record is from RNAcentral.
GAUGAACGCUGGCGGCGUGCCUAAUACAUGCAAGUCGAGCGAACAGACGAGGAGCUUGCUCCUCUGACGUUAGCGGCGGACGGGUGAGUAACACGUGGAUAACCUACCUAUAAGACUGGGAUAACUUCGGGAAACCGGAGCUAAUACCGGAUAAUAUAUUGAACCGCAUGGUUCAAUAGUGAAAGACGGUUUUGCUGUCACUUAUAGAUGGAUCCGCGCCGCAUUAGCUAGUUGGUAAGGUAACGGCUUACCAAGGCGACGAUGCGUAGCCGACCUGAGAGGGUGAUCGGCCACACUGGAACUGAGACACGGUCCAGACUCCUACGGGAGGCAGCAGUAGGGAAUCUUCCGCAAUGGGCGAAAGCUUGACGGAGCAAUGCCGCGUGAGUGAUGAAGGUCUUCGGAUCGUAAAACUCUGUUAUUAGGGAAGAACAAAUGUGUAAGUAACUAUGCACGUCUUGACGGUACCUAAUCAGAAAGCCACGGCUAACUACGUG